ACCUGGCUGGCUCAGUCGGUUGAGCGUCUGACUACAGCUCAGGUCAUGAUCUCACGGUUUGUGAGUUCGAGCCCUGCGUCAGGCU
This is a non-coding RNA of Felis catus (domestic cat), 85 nucleotides long. The record is from Rfam. NCBI's taxonomy places the organism in Eukaryota, Metazoa, Chordata, Mammalia, Carnivora, Felidae.